Molecule: long non-coding RNA, 1814 nt
Organism: Takifugu rubripes (torafugu)
Lineage: Eukaryota; Metazoa; Chordata; Actinopteri; Tetraodontiformes; Tetraodontidae
Source: Ensembl
CUGAGGAGGAAACAACGAGGGAGUAAGGCUGGGGUUAAACAGAGGAUGAAGAGGCGACGUUUUAAACCCUGCAUCCCCGCGGUCAUAACAGGGAAUGUCAGGUCCCUGGCAAAUAAGAUGGACAAGCUGGAGGCACUCACACGGACACAGCGGGAGUACAGAGAGGCCAGUAUCAUGUGUUUCACGGAGACAUGGCUCCAUGGACUGAUACCGGACUCUAAUGUGACGAUCGCCGGCUUCAGCACUGUGCAAGCGGACCGAGACACCACCGCGGCCGGUAAGAAGAAAGGAGGGGGACUUGCCGUGUUCAUUAGCAACAGGUGGUGCAACCCGGAGCAUAUUCACGUCAAGGAGCGCGUGUGCAGUCCCGACGUGGAACUUAUUGCUAUCGGACUCCGUCCAUGCUAUUUGCCACGGGAGUUUAUUAAUGUCAUCGCCAUCACUGUUUAUAUACCUCCGACUGGUAAAGCGAACACGGCCUGUGACGUUAUUUACUCUGUCAUGGCUGACCUGCAGAAUAAACAUCCUGGAGCCCUUAUCCUCAUCACAGGUGACUUCAAUCAUGCCUCCCUUAGGUCCACUCUCCCUACAUUCCAUCAAUAUGUCCAGUGCAGCACAAGAGACGUUAAGACUUUGGAUUUACUGUAUGCUAAUGUCACCAAUUCAUGCACCUCCACUGCACUCCCUCCGCUAGGCAAGUCUGACCAUAAUCUCGUGCUGCUCUCCCCAUCAUACACACCUGUGGUUAAGCAGCAAUCAGUCACUAUGAGGACUGUUAUGAAAUGGUCAAAUGGUGCCAUGGACUGUCUGCGGGAUGCCCUGGAGACCACCAACUGGUCUGCUCUCUGUGAACCACAUGGUGAGGACCUGGAUGGACUGACAGACUGUGUUUCUGACUACAUCAAGUUCUGCACUGAGAACUCCGUCCCCACCAAGAAGGUACGCUGUUACCCAAACAACAAACCAUGGGUGACAAGUGACCUGAAGGCCCUUUUGAACAAGAAGAAGAGGGCCUUCACUGCUGGGGACCCAGCUGAGCUCAGGAGAGUACAGAAGGAACUGAAACGCAGUCUGAAGGAGAGCAAGGACACCUUUAGGAAGAAGCUGGAGGGCAGACUGGAGAGGAACCAGACCAGGGAUGUUUGGAGUGGGAUGAGAACAAUCACUGGCUUCCAGAAGAAAGGAAUACGGUCAGCUGAUGGGAGCGUGGACCAAGCUAAUGAGUUGAACCAGUUUUUCAACAGAUUUGAUUCUAGCUCUCCCUCCCCAGCUGUCCCAAUAUUCCUCUGGAUAACAAUGGGUCCCCUUCACACCUCCCAGACCCCCUAACACCUCUGCCAACUUCUUCCCCCUCCCCCCUGCUGACACCCUACAUGGAUACCAACAUGUCACCCAUCCCCCCGACAUGACUAUCCUUCACGCCUAGCCAGGUGAGGAGAGAGCUGGAGAGUGGGCUGAUGCCGGACCAGACGGCAUCAGCCCACGAGUGCCGAAGAACUGCUCCAGGCAGCUGUGUGGAAUACUGCAGCACCUGUUCAACCAGAGCCUUCAUCUUCAGAGGAUCCCAGUGCUUUGGAAGACAUCCUGCCUGGUCCCGGUGCCGAAGAAGACCCAUCCUGUGGCACCGAGUGACUACAGGCCAAUAGCACUGACCUCCCACAUUAUGAAGGUCAUGGAGCGGCUGGUGCUGUCACACAUCAGACCUCUGGUGAGCCCCUUUCAGGACCCUCUGCAGUUUGCCUAUCAGCCCAAGGUGGGGGUUGAUGACGCGGUAAUAUGCUUGCUACAGAGGGCUUACUCCUCCUUGGACAGAC